Molecule: transfer RNA, 64 nt
Filed under: Henschiella sp. PJ-2015
Lineage: Eukaryota; Metazoa; Arthropoda; Insecta; Hemiptera; Enicocephalidae
Description: tRNA-Ser
Source: RNAcentral
AGAGAAUAAGAAAAUAAAAAGCUACUAACUAUUUUAUAAAGUGGUUAAAUUCCAUUUUUCUCUU